This 78-nucleotide transfer RNA is filed under the name Clostridioides difficile. RNAcentral's name for it is "tRNA-Pro(tgg)". It matches the Rfam family "tRNA". From Rfam's summary of the family: Transfer RNA (tRNA) molecules are approximately 80 nucleotides in length. The record is from RNAcentral. Lineage: Bacteria; Bacillati; Bacillota; Clostridia; Peptostreptococcales; Peptostreptococcaceae.
UCGAGGUGUAGCGCAGUUUGGUAGCGCACAUGGUUUGGGACCAUGGGGCCGGGGGUUCGAGUCCUGCAUCCCCAGCCA